This 118-nucleotide ribosomal RNA is filed under the name Pteropus alecto (black flying fox). Lineage: Eukaryota; Metazoa; Chordata; Mammalia; Chiroptera; Pteropodidae. The record is from RNAcentral.
GUCUACUACCAUGCCACCCUGAAUAAGCCCGAUCUCAUCUGAUCUCAGAAGCUAAGCAGGUUCAGGCCUGGUUAGUACUUGGAUGAAGACCACCUAUGAAGAUCAGGUGCUGUAGGCG